RNAcentral lists this ribosomal RNA (497 nucleotides) under uncultured bacterium. Its description in RNAcentral is "partial 16S ribosomal RNA". It matches the Rfam family "Bacterial small subunit ribosomal RNA", at positions 28 to 507 of the family's 1533-position model. The record is from RNAcentral.
GAUGAACGCUGGCGGCGUGCUUAAUACAUGCAAGUCGAGCGGACGGACGCGACUCUUGCUUCGCUCUUGUUAGCCGCGCACGGGUGAGACACACGUGGAAAACCUCCUUGUAUGACUGGGAUAUCUUCGGAAAUGCGGCGCUUAUCCGGGAGAAUAUUCUGAACCACAUGGUUGAAUGGUAAAUGACGGUCUUGGUGUAUCUUCUCGAUGGAUCCGCGCUUCUUGAGCUAGUUGGUAAGGUCACGGCUUACGAAGGGAACGAUGCAUAGCCGACCUGAGAGGGUGAUCGGCCACACUGGAACGGAGACACGCUCCAGACUCCUACGGGAGGCAGCAGUAGGGAAACUUGCGCAAUGGGCGAAAGCCUGACGGAGCAAGGCCGCGUGAGUGAUGAAGGUCGUCGGAUCGUAAAACUCUGUUAUUAGGGAAGAACAUAUGUGUAAGUAACAGUGCACAUCUUGACGGUACCUAAUCAGAAAGCCACGGCUAACUACGUG